CAGUAGCCGCGGUAAUACGUAGGGUCCGAGCGUUGUCCGGAAUUAUUGGGCGUAAAGGGCUCGUAGGCGGUUUGUUGCGUCGGGAGUGAAAACCCAGGGCUUAACUUUGGGCUUGCUUUCGAUACGGGCAGACUUGAGGCAUUGAGGGGAGAACGGAAUUCCUGGUGUAGCGGUGAAAUGCGCAGAUAUCAGGAGGAACACCGGUGGCGAAGGCGGUUCUCUGGCAAUGUUCUGACGCUGAGGAGCGAAAGUGUGGGGAGCGAACAGGAUUAGAUACCCCUGUAGUCCCUGUCUCUUAUAC
Molecule: ribosomal RNA, 301 nt
Filed under: uncultured bacterium
Lineage: Bacteria
Description: partial 16S ribosomal RNA
Rfam family: Bacterial small subunit ribosomal RNA
Source: RNAcentral